This 230-nucleotide long non-coding RNA is filed under the name Elaeis guineensis (African oil palm). RNAcentral's name for it is "long non-coding RNA (EGUI_LNC020665)". The record is from RNAcentral. Lineage: Eukaryota; Viridiplantae; Streptophyta; Magnoliopsida; Arecales; Arecaceae.
CGGAUGACUUCUCACAUCCCAAUGAGAGAGACACCAUUCAAUCUAGCAUAUGAAAUAGAAGUAGUGAUCCCAUUGGAGAUCGGACUACCAUCAAUGAGAGUUGAACAGUAUACAGAGCCAAAUAAUUUCGACCACCGAUGAGCCGACUUAGACUUACUUCUGAAGGUUCGGUUAUAAGCUCAAAUAAGGAUGACUACAUAUCGAUAAAGAUUAGUUCGGUAUUACAAUGC